RNAcentral lists this ribosomal RNA (323 nucleotides) under Peripatoides sp. DNA103697. RNAcentral describes it as "partial 12S ribosomal RNA". Lineage: Eukaryota; Metazoa; Onychophora; Udeonychophora; Euonychophora; Peripatopsidae. The record is from RNAcentral.
UCUAUAUAUAUUCUAAAGUAGUAUAAAUGAAACUUAAAAUUUUGACAAUAUUUAAUUUUCAAAGAAAUAUGUAAUUUAAUCGUCAAUACACGUUAAAUCUUACUUAUUUUAUUUUUGUAUAUCUCCGUUGACAGAUUUUUAUUAAAAAUAAAAAUAAAUUUCUUAUUAAAUAAUUUUAAUACAUCAGGUCAAGAUCCAAAAUAAAUAAGUUAUUAUGUAUUUCAAUCAAGUAUAUUGAAUUGAACAGAUUUUGAAAAUAAUUUUGAAAUUGAAUUUGCAAGUAAAAUUAAUAUAGAAUAUUAAUUUGAAAUUUUUAAAUAUGU